Brachypodium distachyon (stiff brome) is the source of this 410-nucleotide long non-coding RNA. RefSeq lists it as uncharacterized. NCBI's taxonomy places the organism in Eukaryota, Viridiplantae, Streptophyta, Magnoliopsida, Poales, Poaceae. The transcript is spliced from 2 exons. The record is from RefSeq and is a predicted model, not a curated record.
AGAGCCCUGAGAUGGAGCGAGGAGAGUGGCUUCUCCAGACGCGCUCGCUUCUCUUCCACUUCCCCAGCGAGGCGAGCCCGACGAGCAGCUGAAAAUUUGAAAUGCUGUCGUCUAGGUCUCUGGGAUCGUCGGAACGCGUAUCUGUUGAAGAAUAAUGCAGCAACUGGUGGUCCAAGAUUGUAAAAUGCUGAGAAGUCUCUGAUGUUAAAAUUUGGCCGCCAUCCUGGUGCAUAAACUGUUUGCCGUGCUUCCUGUUUGAAUAGCACAAAAACAAUCCGAUGAAUUCCGGCUGGUGGCCGUGGAGCUUCAUAGGGAACUAUUUCAUUGCCUGAAACAUUAUGUGUUGUAUAUUAGAGUUGCUUACUCAACUUUCUAAAGGUGGAGAAUAGAUUUGACCAUUUCACGUUACA